This 721-nucleotide ribosomal RNA is filed under the name uncultured organism. RNAcentral describes it as "bacterial SSU rRNA". It matches the Rfam family "Bacterial small subunit ribosomal RNA", at positions 13 to 752 of the family's 1533-position model. The record is from RNAcentral.
UUGAUCCUGGCUCAGGAUGAACGCUGGCGGCGUGCCUAACACAUGCAAGUCGAGCGAUGAGGCUCCCUUCGGGGGGUACAUCAGCGGCGAACGGGUGAGUAACACGUGGGUGACCUUCCCCAAAGACGGGGAUAACUCUUGGAAACAGGGGCUAAUACCCGAUGUGCUCAGCAGUUCACUCUGUUGAGUAAAGCUAUGGCGCUUUGGGAUGGGCCCGCGGCCCACCAGCUAGUUGGUAGGGUAAAGGCCUACCAAGGCUAAGACGGGUAGGGGGCGUGAGAGCGCGAUCCCCCACACUGGCACUGAGACACGGGCCAGACUCCUACGGGAGGCAGCAGUGAGGAAUAUUGCGCAAUGGACGAAAGUCUGACGCAGCGACGCCGCGUGGGCGAUGAAGGCCUUCGGGUCGUAAAGCCCUUUUCUGGGGGAAGAGAAAGGACGGUACCCCAGGAAUAAGCCCCGGCUAACUACGUGCCAGCAGCCGCGGUAAAACGUAGGGGGCAAGCGUUAUCCGGAUUUACUGGGCGUACAGAGCGUUGAGGCGGUUUUGUAAGUUGGGCGUGAAAGCCCUGGGCUUAACUCAGGGAAGCCGUUCAAUACUGCGAAACUUGAGGGCAGCAGAGGGAGGUGGAAUUCCCGGAGUAGCGAUGAAAUGCGUAGAUAUCGGGAGGAACACCAGUGGCGAAAGGCGGACUCCUGGGCUGAUCCAUGACGCUGAAGG